GAUGAAGAACGUAGCGAAAUGCGAUAAGUAAUGUGAAUUGCAGAAUUCAGUGAAUCAUCGAAUCUUUGAACGCACAUUGCGCCCGCUAGUAUUCUGGCGGGCAUGCCUGUCCGAGCGUCAUUUCAACCCUCGGGAGCCCCUUUGCGGGGGCUGCCGGUGUUGGGGAUCGCCCGCCGCCAUGGUGGACGUCCCCUAAAACGAUUGGCGGUCUCGCUGUAGCCUCCUCUGCGCAGUAGCACUUGUUCUCGCAGGCGGAGCGCGGCGCGACCAAGCCGUUAAACCCCCAACUUUUUUACUAGGUUGACCUCGGAUCAGGUAGGAAUACCCGCUGAACUUAAGCAUAUCAUAAGCGGAGGA
RNAcentral lists this unclassified non-coding RNA (357 nucleotides) under soil metagenome. RNAcentral's name for it is "partial contains 5.8S ribosomal RNA, internal transcribed spacer 2, and large subunit ribosomal RNA". The stretch from base 1 to 120 matches the Rfam family "5.8S ribosomal RNA", at positions 35 to 154 of the family's 154-position model. The record is from RNAcentral.